GAUGAACGCUGGCGGCGUGCCUAAUACAUGCAAGUCGAGCGAACAGACGUGGAUCUUGCUCCUUUGACGUUAGCCGCGGACGGGUGUGUAACACGUGGAUAACCUACCUAUAAGACUGGGAUAACUUCGGGAAACCGGAUCUAAUACCGGAUAAUAUAUUGAACCGUAUGGUUCAAUAGUGAAAGACGGCUUUGCUGUCACUUAUAGAUGGAUCCGCGCCGCAUUAGCUAGUUGGUGAGGUAACGGCUUAUCAAGGCAACGAUGCGUAGCCGACCUGAGAGGGUGAUCGGCCACACUGGAGGUGAGACACGGUCCAGACUCCUACGGGAGGCAGCAGUAGGGAAUCGUCCGCAAUGGGCGAAAGCCUGACGGAGCAACGCCGCGUGAGUGAUGAAGGUCUUCGGAUCGUAAAGCUCUGUUAUUAGGGAAGAACAAAUGUGUAAGUAACUAUGCACGUCUUGACGGUACCUAAUCAGAAAGCCACGGCUAACUACGUG
Molecule: ribosomal RNA, 497 nt
Filed under: uncultured bacterium
Lineage: Bacteria
Description: partial 16S ribosomal RNA
Rfam family: Bacterial small subunit ribosomal RNA
Source: RNAcentral